RNAcentral lists this ribosomal RNA (438 nucleotides) under Triticum aestivum (bread wheat). RNAcentral's name for it is "partial small subunit ribosomal RNA". The record is from RNAcentral. Lineage: Eukaryota; Viridiplantae; Streptophyta; Magnoliopsida; Poales; Poaceae.
AUGGCGGGAUUCGCACACAGGCGUGGAGGCCAUGGCCGUGGCGGGUUGCCGCCACGUAAGAUCUUGCAUGGCGGCGCGGUGGCCAGCAACUCCCUCCGCUCCCCCACCCCCUGGUCGAAGCUUGGCGGUCGGAGAAAGCGCUGCAGCGCGGCCGCCUCUUCUGAAGAGGCGGGCGAUCAACUUGGGCCUACUUCGACCGGCUCCAUGAGGAGCUCUACCCGCACACCGUGGCUUGCCGUAGGACAGAUGCAGAGCUCCUUGUCGCAACGAGCGUCAUCGAGGCCGAAGAAGCAGGGACCGCCGAGAGGCUGGCGGCGAAGGAGGAGCACGCCUUCGCCCACGCUUGCCCCCAGUCGGCGGAGGCGUUCUUCCUUGGCAUCAAGCACUAAGCCGUCGUCGUUCCUGCGGCUAGAUCUAUGUUUAUCUAUGUGCACUUAG